AGUAAUACAUCGGAACAUGUCCUGUAGUGGGGGAUAGCCCGGCGAAAGCCGGAUUAAUACCGCAUACGAUCUAGGGAUGAAAGCGGGGGACUUCGGGCCUCGCGCUAUAGGGUUGGCCGAUGGCUGAUUAGCUAGUUGGUGGGGUAAAGGCCUACCAAGGCGACGAUCAGUAGCUGGUCUGAGAGGACGACCAGCCACACUGGACUGAGACACGGCCCAGACUCCUACGGGAGGCAGCAGUGGGGAAUUUUGGACAAUGGGCGAAAGCCUGAUCCAGCAAUGCCGCGUGUGUGAAGAAGGCCUUCGGGUUGUAAAGCACUUUUGUCCGGAAAGAAAUCCUUGGCUCUAAUACAGUCGGGGGAUGACGGUACCGGAAGAAUAAGCACCGGCUAACUACGUGCCAGCAGCCGCGGUAAUACGUAGGGUGCAAGCGUUAAUCGGAAUUACUGGGCGUAAAGCGUGCGCAGGCGGUUUGCUAAGACCGAUGUGAAAUCCCCGGGCUCAACCUGGGAACUGCAUUGGUGACUGGCAGGCUAGAGUAUGGCAGAGGGGGGUAGAAUUCCACGUGUAGCAGUGAAAUGCGUAGAGAUGUGGAGGAAUACCGAUGGCGAAGGCAGCCCCCUGGGCCAAUACUGACGCUCAUGCACGAAAGCGUGGGGAGCAAACAGGAUUAGAUACCCUGGUAGUCCACGCCCUAAACGAUGUCAACUAGUUGUUGGGGAUUCAUUUCCUUAGUAACGUAGCUAACGCGUGAAGUG
Molecule: ribosomal RNA, 758 nt
Filed under: uncultured bacterium
Lineage: Bacteria
Description: bacterial SSU rRNA
Rfam family: Bacterial small subunit ribosomal RNA
Source: RNAcentral